Molecule: ribosomal RNA, 87 nt
Filed under: Shewanella sp. DNRA4
Lineage: Bacteria; Pseudomonadati; Pseudomonadota; Gammaproteobacteria; Alteromonadales; Shewanellaceae
Description: partial 16S ribosomal RNA
Rfam family: Bacterial small subunit ribosomal RNA
Source: RNAcentral
UUUAAUUGAAGAGUUUGAUCAUGGCUCAGAUUGAACGCUGGCGGCAGGCCUAACACAUGCAAGUCGAGCGGCAGCACAAGUAAGUUU